UGGGGAAUAUUGGACAAUGGGCGAAAGCCUGAUCCAGCAAUGCCGCGUGGAUGAAGAAGGUCUUCGGAUUGUAAAGUCCUUUUGGCGGGGACGAUGAUGACGGUACCCGCAGAAGAAGCCCCGGCUAACUUCGUGCCAGCAGCCGCGGUAAUACGAAGGGGGCUAGCGUUGCUCGGAAUGACUGGGCGUAAAGGGCGCGUAGGCGGUUUGUACAGUCAGACGUGAAAUUCCCGGGCUCAACCUGGGGACUGCGUUUGAGACGUACAGGCUUGAGUGUGAAAGAGGGUCGUGGAAUUCCCAGUGUAGAGGUGAAAUUCGUAGAUAUUGGGAAGAACACCGGUGGCGAAGGCGGCGACCUGGUUCAUUACUGACGCUGAGGCGCGAAAGCGUGGGGAGCAAACAGGAUUAGAUACCCCCGUAGUCC
Molecule: ribosomal RNA, 424 nt
Filed under: uncultured bacterium
Lineage: Bacteria
Description: bacterial SSU rRNA
Rfam family: Bacterial small subunit ribosomal RNA
Source: RNAcentral